UUGAUCCUGGCUCACGAUGAGCGCGANCGGCAGGCUUACACAUGCAAGUCGAGGGGUAACGAUUCUGAGCAAUCGGAAGUCGACGACCGGCGCACGGGUGAGUAUCGCGUUUGUAACCUACCUUUGACUGGAGAAUAGCCCGAAGAAAUUCGGAUUAAUACUCCAUAAAACUGUGAGAAGGCAUCUUUUUACAGUUAAAGCUUCGGCGGUCUUAGAUGGGCAUGCGUAACAUUAGCUAGUUGGUGAGGUAAUAGCUCACCAAGGCUACGAUGUUUAGGGGGUCUGAGAGGAUGGUCCCCCACACUGGUACUGAGACACGGACCAGACUCCUACGGGAGGCAGCAGUGAGGAAUAUUGGUCAAUGGGCGAAAGCCUGAACCAGCCAUGCCGCGUGAAGGAUGACGGCCCUAUGGGUUGUAAACUUCUUUUAUACGGGAAGAAACCCCUCUACGUGUAGAGGGCUGACGGUACCGUACGAAUAAGCAUCGGCUAACUCCGUGCCAGCAGCCGCGGUAAUACGGAGGAUGCAAGCGUUAUCCGGACUUAUUGGGUUUAAAGGGUGCGUAGGCGGAAAAUUAAGUCAGUGAUGAAAUCCUGCAGCUUAACUGUAGAAUUGUUAUUGAUACUGAUUUUCUUGAAUACAGUUGAGGUAGGCGGAAUGUGUAAUGUAGCGGUGAAAUGCUUAGAUAUUACACAGAACACCGAUUGCGAAGGCAGCUUACUAAACUGUGAUUGACGCUGAGGCACGAAAGCGUGGGGAGCGAACAGGAUUAGAUACCCUGGUAGUCCACGCUGUAAACGAUGAUCACUCGUUGUUGGCAAUACAUCGUCAGCGACUGAGCGAAAGCAUUAAGUGAUCCANCUGGGGAGUACGAUCGCAAGAUUGAAACUCCAAGGAAUUGACGGGGGCCCGCACAAGCGGAGGAACAUGUGGUUAAUUCGAUGAUACGCGAGGAACCUUACCUGGGCUU
RNAcentral lists this ribosomal RNA (971 nucleotides) under uncultured organism. RNAcentral's name for it is "bacterial SSU rRNA". It matches the Rfam family "Bacterial small subunit ribosomal RNA", at positions 13 to 982 of the family's 1533-position model. The record is from RNAcentral.